AUGGGAAGCAAACGUCAAUGCAAGCUGAUGAAACCUCGCUUGAAUGAAAUGUCACAUGAUAAAUCACCAAAUGAAAUCCUGAAGAAUGAUGAUGUUAAUCAUAGAUCCAAUAUUAAUAAGAUCAAUCAGAUUUUUCGACCAAAGAAGAUGAAGAAAUAUAGAUCUCUUGCUGAUAUUUACAGGGUGACAAAACCCAUUGAUACUGAAAAUUAA
Molecule: non-coding RNA, 213 nt
Organism: Vicia faba (fava bean)
Lineage: Eukaryota; Viridiplantae; Streptophyta; Magnoliopsida; Fabales; Fabaceae
Source: the annotation of a GenBank genome assembly